This 498-nucleotide ribosomal RNA is filed under the name uncultured bacterium. RNAcentral describes it as "partial 16S ribosomal RNA". It matches the Rfam family "Bacterial small subunit ribosomal RNA", at positions 29 to 523 of the family's 1533-position model. The record is from RNAcentral.
AGUGAACGCUGGCGGCAUGCUUUACACAUGCAAGUCGAACGGUAACAGGCCGCAAGGUGCUGACGAGUGGCGAACGGGUGAGUAAUGCAUCGGAACGUGCCCAGUCGUGGGGGAUAACGCAGCGAAAGCUGCGCUAAUACCGCAUACGAUCCCUGGAUGAAAGCGGGGGACCGAAAGGCCUCGUGCGAUUGGAGCGGCCGCUGUCAGAUUAGGUAGUUGGUGGGGUAAAGGCUCACCAAGCCAACGAUCUGUAGCUGGUCUGAGAGGACGACCAGCCACACUGGGACUGAGACGCGGCCCAGACUCCUACGGGAGGCAGCAGUGGGGAAUUUUGGACAAUGGGCGCAAGCCUGAUCCAGCAAUGCCGCGUGCAGGAAGAAGGCCUUCGGGUUGUAAACUGCUUUUGUACGGAACGAAACGGUCUGGGUUAAUACCCUGGGCUAAUGACGGUACCGUAAGAAUAAGCACCGGCUAACUACGUGCCAGCAGCCGCUGUAA